GGCCUGUAGCCCUGACGCUCACCGGCCUGUAGCCCUGACGCUCACCGGCCUGUAGCCCUGACGCUCACCGGCCUGUAGCCCUGACGCUCACCGGCCUGUAGCCCUGACGCUCACCGGCCUGUAGCCCUGACGCUCACCGGCCUGUAGCCCUGACGCUCACCGGCCUGUAGCCCUGACGCUCACCGGCCUGUAGCCCUGACGCUCACCGGCCUGUAGCCCUGACGCUCACCGGCCUGUAGCCCUGACGCUCACCGGCCUGUAGCCCUGACGCUCACCGGCCUGUAGCCCUGACGCUCACCGGCCUGUAGCCCUGACGCUCACCAGCCUGUAGCCCUGACGCUCACCAGCCUGUAGCCCUGACGCUCACCAGCCUGUAGCCCUGACGCUCACCAGCCUGUAGCCCUGACACUGUCUCUCCUGACUGAUCAGAUUCCUGUAACGUACCCGUCCACUGCCCCCGAGGUCGCCAUCCCAGAGCUGGAUGGGAAAACGGCCAAAAUGUACAGGGGGGGGAAGAUUUGUCUGACGGACCACUUCAAACCCCUGUGGGCGCGAAACGUACCGAAGUUUGGAUUGGCUCACCUGAUGGCCCUUGGGUUGGGUCCGUGGUUGGCGGUGGAGAUUCCAGACCUGAUCUCUAAAGGACUGAUCACACACAGAGAGCAGCAGGGAAGCUGAGACCCCACCUUCCCUCUUUGUGAACAUGUUUACUGGUGUGGUCCCAGUGAAGGUGCUGCUGCUGUUUGUUCUGAGAACCAGAAAACAGACUAAUGAUGUGGCUACCGACAUGUGACCACUCACUCUUCUGUUGCUUUAAAAGGCAAUGUUCCUGCGUUCACAUUCAAGUUAAACUCUGCAGAUGUCGGCUCAAUCAGAAAUGACCUUUUAAAUGUCAGUUGCGCUAUAACACCAUGUUGAAUCGCAGCCUACAUUCCACUAGAAAACGGGUGUUUUAAACUUCAGUGUUUGAGUUGACAGAAUGUUGCUCCUGUGUCAUCUAAUAAAACAUGUCUGAUACCUGUCA
Salvelinus namaycush (lake trout) is the source of this 1024-nucleotide long non-coding RNA. RefSeq lists it as uncharacterized. NCBI's taxonomy places the organism in Eukaryota, Metazoa, Chordata, Actinopteri, Salmoniformes, Salmonidae. The record is from RefSeq and is a predicted model, not a curated record. The transcript has 3 exons.